This 239-nucleotide ribosomal RNA is filed under the name uncultured bacterium. RNAcentral describes it as "partial 16S ribosomal RNA". It matches the Rfam family "Bacterial small subunit ribosomal RNA", at positions 9 to 265 of the family's 1533-position model. The record is from RNAcentral.
GAGUUUGAUCAUGGCUCAGGAUGAACGCUGGCGGCGUGCCUAAUACAUGCCAAGUCGAGCGGUAAGGCCUUUCGGGGUACACGAGCGGCGGACGGCUGAGUAACACGUAGGAACGUACCCCUUUAGUGAGGCAUAAGCACCAGAAAUGGUGUCUAAUACCGCAUGUGAUCUUCGGAUUAAAGCUUCGGCGCUAAAGGAACGGCCUGCGCAUGAUUAGCUUGUUGGUGAGGUAAUGGGCU